GAUGAACGCUGGCGGCGUGCCUAAUACAUGCAAGUCGAGCGAACGGACGAGAAGCUUGCUUCUCUGAUGUUAGCGGCGGACGGGUGAGUAACACGUGGAUAACCUACCUAUAAGACUGGGAUAACUUCGGGAAACCGUGGCUAAUACCGGAUAAUAUUUUGAACGGCAUGGUUCAAAAGUGAAUGACGGUUUUGCCGUCACUAAUAGAUGGAUCCGCGCUGCAUUAGCUAGUUGGUAAGGUAACGGCUUACCAAGGCAACGAUGCAUAGCCGACCUGAGAGGGUGAUCGGCCACACUGGAACUGAGACACGGUCCAGACUCCUACGGGAGGCAGCAGUAGGGAAUCUUCCGCAAUGGGCGAAAGCCUGACGGAGCAACGCCGCGUGAGUGAUGAAGGUCUUCGGAUCGUAAAACUCUGUUAUUAGGGAAGAACAUAUGUGUAAGUAACUGUGCACAUCUUGACGGUACCUAAUCAGAAAGCCACGGCUAACUACGUG
RNAcentral lists this ribosomal RNA (497 nucleotides) under uncultured bacterium. RNAcentral's name for it is "partial 16S ribosomal RNA". It matches the Rfam family "Bacterial small subunit ribosomal RNA", at positions 28 to 507 of the family's 1533-position model. The record is from RNAcentral.